AGAGUUUGAUCAUGGCUCAGAAUCAACGCUGGCGGCGUGCCUAACACAUGCAAGUCGAACGAGAAAGUGGAGCAAUCCAUGAGUACAGUGGCGACCGGGUGAGUAACACGUGAUCAACCUACCCUCGAGUGGGGGAUAACUCCGGGAAACCGGAGCUAAUACCGCAUAACAUCUUCGGUCCACAUGAACUGAUGAUCAAAGGAGCAAUUCGCUUGAGGAGGGGGUCGCGGCUGAUUAGCUAGUUGGUAGGGUAAUGGCCUACCAAGGCUUAGAUCGGUAUCCGGCCUGAGAGGGCGCACGGACACACUGGAACUGAAACACGGUCCAGACUCCUACGGGAGGCAGCAGUGGGGAAUUUUGCGCAAUGGGGGAAACCCUGACGCAGCAACGCCGCGUGGAGGAUGAAGUCCCUUGGGACGUAAACUCCUUUCGACCGGGAAGAUACUGACGGUACCGGAUGAAGAAGCACCGGCUAACUCUGUGCCAGCAGCCGCGGUAAUACAGAGGGUGCGAGCGUUGUUCGGAAUUAUUGGGCGUAAAGGGCGCGUAGGCGGCGCGGUAAGUCACCUGUGAAAUCUCCUGGCUCAACUGGGAGCUUGCAGGCGAAACUGCCGUGCUGGAGUGUGGGAGAGGUGCGUGGAAUUCCUGGUGUAGCGGUGAAAUGCGUAGAUAUCAGGAGGAACACCUGUGGCGAAAGCGGCGCACUGGACCACAACUGACGCUGAGGCGCGAAAGCUAGGGGAGCAAACAGGAUUAGAUACCCCAGUAGUCC
RNAcentral lists this ribosomal RNA (772 nucleotides) under uncultured bacterium. RNAcentral's name for it is "bacterial SSU rRNA". It matches the Rfam family "Bacterial small subunit ribosomal RNA", at positions 8 to 796 of the family's 1533-position model. The record is from RNAcentral.